GACGAACGCUGGCGGCGUGCCUAAUACAUGCAGUAGAACGCACAGGAUGCACCGUAGUUUACUACACCGUAUUCUGUGAGUUGCGAACGGGUGAGUAACGCGUAGGUAACCUGCCUGGUAGCGGGGGAUAACUAUUGGAAACGAUAGCUAAUACCGCAUAAGAACAUUUACUGCAUGGUAGAUGUUUAAAAGGUGCAAAUGCAUCACUACCAGAUGGACCUGCGUUGUAUUAGCUAGUUGGUGAGGUAACGGCUCACCAAGGCAACGAUACAUAGCCGACCUGAGAGGGUGAUCGGCCACACUGGGACUGAGACACGGCCCAGACUCCUACGGGAGGCAGCAGUAGGGAAUCUUCGGCAAUGGGGGGAACCCUGACCGAGCAACGCCGCGUGAGUGAAGAAGGUUUUCGGAUCGUAAAGCUCUGUUGUUAAGGAAGAACGUGUGUGAGAGUGGAAAGUUUCACACAGUGACGGUACUUAACCCGAAAGGACGCUAACUA
Molecule: ribosomal RNA, 499 nt
Filed under: Streptococcus constellatus
Lineage: Bacteria; Bacillati; Bacillota; Bacilli; Lactobacillales; Streptococcaceae
Description: bacterial SSU rRNA
Rfam family: Bacterial small subunit ribosomal RNA
Source: RNAcentral